This 5843-nucleotide long non-coding RNA is filed under the name Homo sapiens (human). Its description in RNAcentral is "HSALNT0258160". The record is from RNAcentral. Lineage: Eukaryota; Metazoa; Chordata; Mammalia; Primates; Hominidae.
GCCGGGAAGAGUGGGCACCUUGGAAUCUGCAAGGCAUUCUUUUGCGUUUCACCUGCAGUGGGGUGGGGUCUCUGGGGUCUGCCCUCCCUCCUACUCUACAUGCAUUACCCAUCUUAUAGCCGGGCCGUCCCUGCAAAAUUCCAGCUGCAUGGGGGAACCACACUUCUGACUUCAGAAUGAAACCAGUGUUUUGCACACAUUCAUUCCUCAGUCCCCUUGCUGGGACCCUUCUCUGUUAUGAAAGCAGAGAUCCCACCCGAAUAGGGUGACUUUGGGGCGAUGGAUUACCUUUGGCAGGUCCUGUGGGUCAGGAAUUUAGGGGUGCAGCGUGGGCCCACAGCAUACCCAGUAGCCAAGGAAGACCCUCCCCUACCCGAGGCUCAAGCAGGCGCCAGGCCCCAAACCCUCACUCCUCUCUGGUCUAAAUCCCCGCCGUAGGAUUUUAUUUUUCGGUGCUGAGGUGCUUUGCUGGAGGAGCUGCCAGGGGGAGCUGCGCGGGGCAGGCCCGGGGUACCAGAGGCCCUUGCUUUAGCGGCGGCCCUGCGUGUGCCAGAGGCUUGCAGAGUGAUCUGAGCACGCCAAGAGAUUGCUGUCAAUGAAAGCACCAGAUUUCCGCGUAGGAGGGACUCGGGGGCAACGAUGCAAUUGGAAGAACUGCACCGAAAAUGACGAUGUCUUCUCAUGCAUAUGAAUUAUCCAAAGUGUAGGAAGAUGCGCCCCCACUGGAGUACGCUGAAGCCUUUAACCCAAGUACAUUUAAUGCUGCGAAGCCCCGAGUGAGGCAAAGGUGUCUUUUUAUUUUAGAAGACAUUUAGGACAGUUCAUGUCACUCUGCACAGAUGCACUGAAAUUGAUUGUGGGGCAAACUAUAAAGAGAGCUUAUGCUCCCCAAAUCUGUUUCCGAGCCAGGUAGGAUGAUGAAUUCUGAGGUGGGACUGAGGGGGAACGGUGGCAGCUCUCUCCCCUGCACGCACCGGCCAACUACUUCCCCGUUUGGACAUUGGCGUGACACCCUCCUUCCCUGUUCAUCUGUGAAAAUGUGCAGCGUUUUCAUUUAAAACCUCCUGCUCCAACAUGGGGCCUUCUGCAGACCGCAGGGACCCCCAACAAUUACUUGUUGGAAGAACAAAUGAAGCAUAAAGCAUGAUACUUUAUUUUAAACAUACAGGUGGCACAAAUUUAUUUCCAAAGAUUUAAGCACCUGAUGACUUCUCCUUAGAGAAAAAGCAAUAAAAGGAGCCUCUUCUGUCACAAAUUUCCACUUAGCAUGGUUUGUGCAGAGGCAGAAUUUCAGGCUUUUACCACUGAGCUCUGGACAUGAAGCAAAGCUAACACUAGAGGGUGCUAUAGAUUAGGAAAUCCAGGGACCAUGGGCGCCGGAGCGCGUUCAAGACGCUGCCCUCCCGAUUGUAACCUAACAAACUGAGCGUGUCACUUUGCCAGAAUUUACCCCUUCACCAUUUCUGCUAUGAUGAAAUUAUCCAGAUAUGUUUAAUUUGAAAUUUUAACUUAGUCUGUGAUUAUGUGGAAUUUCAACACUGGCUGUGGCCCAGUGCAGUGGCUCACUCACACCUGUAAUCCCAGUGCUUUGGGAGGCCAAGUCUGGUGGAUAAUUUGUGGUCAGGAGUUCGAAACCAGCCUGGCCAACAUGGUGAAACCCUGUCUCUCCUAAAAAUACAGAAAUUAGCCUGGUGCCUGUAAUCCCAGCUACUCGGGAGGCUGAGGCAGGAGAAUUGCUUGAACCCUCAGGAGGCAGAGGUUGCAGUGAGCCGAGAUCACGCCACUGCACUCCAGUCCUGUCUAAAAAAAAAAAAAAAAAAAAAAAGGACUGAGCCCAGGUCUGUAGGAUAGACACUUUGUGUUUGUAUCUUAAGUACUUUGCGAUCUCACCCUUACAAACCUGAUACUAAAUUCCACUUACCUACUUCAGUCCUUCUCUGAGGGAAGGUGGAGUUUGGAGGCAAUUUUAGGAAGCAGGAUGAGGAAACAGGGAAGGUGACACAGUGAAGGACAAGCCAACACAAGGGUGGAUUACCAAGGCUGGUCCCCUCUACAGGCACCCAGGGCUCGGUCCCACGCGGACUGCUGAGUAGACAGAAGACCUUUCAGAAUCUUCUGCCUCUCCCCCAUUUGCUGAGAGUUCCCUGGGAACGGUAACCCCCGUACCUUCGGGCUGAACAUAUGUUUGCAUGCUGAAUGGGCUCUUUCUGCCAUCCCAUGCCACAGCAUUCAGGAAGCCCUGGGGCCAAAGCAAACAGCAUGCUUGAGGCAAGGUGCUGUGAGGCCCAAAUGAGCUGAAGCUUGCACAAAACUGCUCACCACUGCCAUAGCUGAAUCAGCGGAGGCCAGGAGGAUGCGAGGCGGUGCCCGUGAUUGUCUGAUCAUCUCCCUCUUGGACCGCUGAGACUCAGGCAUGCCCUGCAUCAAAUCCAACCUGUCACCAGGUCUUCAAGGGGGAGGCCUGCGGAAAUCCUACUGUGAAUGAAACUACAGUUGCUAUUCAUCGUCUCCCUCCUGCACCUACCACUCCAGAUGUCCCUCACUCUUGGCCAGCACUUUGGCUUGUUUAAGUUGUGUGCCAGGUGAGGUGACCACACCUUCCCCCCUGCAGUUUCUGAGUCUUUCCUGAGCUUUGUCUUGGUUGGCCCUUGGCUGCUGUGACUGCCUAUUUUAUCUAAUUGCAGGUUCAAGAUUCACCAAGAAGGCAGGGCGCAGUGGCUCACAUCUGUAAUCCCAGCACUUUGGGAGGCUGAAGCAGGCAGAUCACUUCAGCCCAGGAGUUUGAGACCAGCCUGGGCAACAGAGCAAGACCCCAUCUCUAAAGAAAAAUAAUUAUUCAGGUGUGGUGGCACAUGCCUGUAGUCCCAGCUACUCAGGAGGCGGAGGUGGGAGGAUCGCUUGAGCCCAGGAGGUUGAGGCUGCAGUGAGCCGUGAUUGCACCAUUGCACUCUAGCUGGGCAACAGAGCAAAACCCUGUCUCCAAAAAUAAUAAGUAAAUAAAUAAAUAAGAUACUAAGAGACAGCCCAGUGACUCUCCUGAGUCCCAAACAUACUCAUCCAUCCCUCAUGGAGAAACAACUCUAUCUCCUUGCAAUAAUCAGAACUAGUUUCUCCUGCCAGUUUAAUCAGUACUUUUUUUAUUGCAGUAAAAUACACACAACAUAAAAUGUGCCACUUUAACCAUUUUAUUAUUAUUAUUAUUAUUAUUAUUAUUAUUAAGACGGAGUUUCACUCUUGUUGCCCAUGCUGGAGUGCAGGGGCGCGAUCUUGGCUCACUGCAACUUCCACUUUCUGGGUUCAAGCGAUUCUCUUGCCUCAGCCUCCGGAGUAGCUGAGAUUACAGGCACACGCAGCCAUGCCCAGCUAAUUUUUGUAUUUUUAGUAGAGACGGGGUUUCACCAUAUUGGUCAGGCUGGUCUCAAACUCCUGACCUCAGGUGAUCCACCCACCCCUUGGCCUCCCAAAGUGCUGGGAUUACAGGCGUGAACCACCAUGCCCAGCCCAUUUUAACCAUUUUUAAAUGUUCAUUCAGUGGCCUGAGUUAUAUGAACAUUGCUGGACAACCAUUGCUACUAUGUAUUUCCAAAACUUUUUAAUUGCCUUAAACAGAAGCCUUGUAACCAUUAAGCAACACCUCCCCAUCCCCUCUCCCCUCAGCCCCUAGUAAUCACUAGCCUACUUUCUCUGCUACUUUGUCUCUUGUAGAUGUUUCAAACAAGUAGAAUGAUAUGAUACUUGUCCUUUUGAAACUGACUUAUUUUACAUAGUAUAGUGUUUUCAAGGUCCAUCCAUGUGGUGCAUGUAUUAAAGCUUCAUGCACUUUUAUGGCUGAAUAAUGUUCCAUUGUAUGUACAAGGCGUGCCACAUUUUGUUAUUCAUUCACCUGUUAAUGGCAACUUGGCUUGUUUCCACUUUUGGGCCCUUGUGGAUAAUGCUGCAGUGAACAUCAGCAUGGAUGUCUCUGAGUCCUGCUUUCAGUUCUUCAGGGUAUAUGCCUAGCAGUGGAGUAGCUGAUUCUAUGUUAAUUCUAUGUUUAAUUUUUUGAGAAACUGCCAUAUUGUUCUCCAGGCUGGCUGCACCAUUCCACAUUCCCACUAACCGUGCACAAAGAUUCCAAUUUCUUACCAACACACUCUCAUCAAUACAUGUUAUUUUUAGUUUAUCGUGUUUUCAUUUUUCUUUUAUUAAUAUAUAGCAGGCAUUCUAAUGGGUGUGGGGUGGUAUCUCAUUUUGGUUUUGAUCUGCAUUUUCCUAGUGUUUAGCGAUGUUGAGUAUACUUUCCUGUGGUCAUUUGUAUAUUUUCUUUGGAUGUGUAUCUGUUCAAAUCCUUUACUCAUUUUUAAUUGAGUUGUCUUUUUGUUAUUGAGUUGUAGGAGUUCCUUAUAUAUUCUUGAUUUUAAAACUUUAUCAGAUAUAUGAUUUGCAGAUAUUUUCUCCCAUUGCAUCGGUUGUUUUUUCAGUUUCUUGAUAAUGUCCUUUCAUGCACAAAAGUGUUUAGUUUUGAUGAAUUCCAAUUUGUCUCUUUUUCUUUCUUUGCUCAUGUUUUUGGUGUCGUAUCUGAGAAUCCAUUACCAAAUCCAAGGUCGUGAAGAUUUACCUAUAUGUUUUCUUGUAAGAGUUCUGAUGUUUGUCAUUGAUCCAUGCUGAGUUAACAUUUAUACCGUAUAAUGUAGGGGCUACCUCUUCAUUCUUUUGCAUGUAGAAACUCCGUUAUCCUAAUUGUUGCUAAUUGCCUCUGGCCCACUGACUUGAGAAGCCCAAGAGGACCAGGGAGUAUUUGUAUUUUCAAGUUCUGUAGAAUUGGUGAUGUUCCCUGGUGGAGGAGUCCACUCUCCGCUCCUCCUCCCCCAUCAAGAACUAAGACGUCGAAUUUGCUAGAGCCCCACCCAAAGCUGUGGACACAGGAAGCACACAUUUCUCAAGGUGGUCUCUGCGAGUGAUGGUGAGAGCAGCCGAUCUCACUCCCCCCGCCACCCCCUGGGUUUCCAGCCCCAUGUCUUUCUGCUUUUGGGAUCAUAGCACCAUGUGUCUGCUCUUGGUAAGGCACGUACACCACAGUUUCAAGGAUAGUAUCCCAAUUAUACAGGGUGUGGGCUCACGCUUUCACCCUGGCAUAGCCUUGGCACAGGUCAUCCUGAUGUUCUUGUAGGCCUGCUGCUUCCAGAGGAACCUUGGAGCCAUAGCUUCUUUGCUGUAAAACAGACCCCUUGGCUUGAGGCAGUGUUGUUCAAAUCCCCUGCCAAUAAAUCAGAGACGACCGUAAGUGCUCUGUUGGUGAUGCCAGUGAAGGCACUGUUGCAAGGAAGGAAAAUCCAUAUCCAGAGUCGGUGUUCACUCUGCUAGGACUCAUCGCUGUCUCAUCAAUGACAGAAGGGGUCUCAUAUAAUGAACUUUGCACUGUGACUGCCUGAUCUCCUUGUGAAAUGGUGCCAUCUUGAGGGCUCAUUAUUAGUCCAUGUGGUUGGCAGGUAGGGCAUUCAGUAGCGGCAGCAGCCAGGUCAUCUCUAGCAAGAGGGAACUUGUGUUGGGCUCAUGCCUCCCUUGACUUUUGCCACCAUGGCCACACCAUUCAUGGAACUAUCUAUUUCCCCUGCCGUGGGGUGGCUGAUGCUGGCUGAUGCCCAGAGGAUGAACCAUCCUGUCCACCCAGUUGCUAGGUGCCUCCUCUGCAGGAGAGGCUUUUUGGCAGACCUUAACGUAAGUCCAAUGAUUGGCACGCUAGUGCCAUUUCCAUAGGUCAGUAGUACUGAUUUUUCCUUUUGUCUCAGACACCAAUAUGGCUCGGCACAGCAGUUACUGAUCCUGUCUCUAUUUGAAAUUUUAAUAUUUUGCUCAUCAUGGAU